AGAGUUUGAUCCUGGCUCAGGAUGAACGCUGGCGGCGUGCCUAAUACAUGCAAGUCGAGCGAACGGACGAGAAGCUUGCUUCUCUGAUGUUAGCGGCGGACGGGUGAGUAACACGUGGAUAACCUACCUAUAAGACUGGGAUAACUUCGGGAAACCGGAGCUAAUACCGGAUAAUAUUUUGAACCGCAUGGUUCAAAAGUGAAAGACGGUCUUGCUGUCACUUAUAGAUGGAUCCGCGCUGCAUUAGCUAGUUGGUAAGGUAACGGCUUACCAAGGCAACGAUGCAUAGCCGACCUGAGAGGGUGAUCGGCCACACUGGAACUGAGACACGGUCCAGACUCCUACGGGAGGCAGCAGUAGGGAAUCUUCCGCAAUGGGCGAAAGCCUGACGGAGCAACGCCGCGUGAGUGAUGAAGGUCUUCGGAUCGUAAAACUCUGUUAUUAGGGAAGAACAUAUGUGUAAGUAACUGUGCACAUCUUGACGGUACCUAAUCAGAAAGCCACGGCUAACUACGUGCCAGCAGCCGCGGUAAUACGUAGGUGGCAAGCGUUAUCCGGAAUUAUUGGGUGUAAAGCGCGCGUAGGCGGUUUUUUAAGUCUGAUGUGAAAGCCCACGGCUCAACCGUGGAGGGUCAUUGGAAACUGGAAAACUUGAGUGCAGAAGAGGAAAGUGGAAUUCCAUGUGUAGCGGUGAAAUGCGCAGAGAUAUGGAGGAACACCAGUGGCGAAGGCGACUUUCUGGUCUGCAACUGACGCUGAUGUGCGAAAGCGUGGGGAUCAAACAGGAUUAGAUACCCUGGUAGUCCACGCCGUAAACGAUGAGUGCUAAGUGUUAGGGGGUUUCCGCCCCUUAGUGCUGCAGCUAACGCAUUAAGCACUCCGCCUGGGGAGUACGACCGCAAGGUUGAAACUCAAAGGAAUUGACGGGGACCCGCACAAGCGGUGGAGCAUGUGGUUUAAUUCGAAGCAACGCGAAGAACCUUACCAAAUCUUGACAUCCUUUGACAACUCUAGAGAUAGAGCCUUCCCCUUCGGGGGACAAAGUGACAGGUGGUGCAUGGUUGUCGUCAGCUCGUGUCGUGAGAUGUUGGGUUAAGUCCCGCAACGAGCGCAACCCUUAAGCUUAGUUGCCAUCAUUAAGUUGGGCACUCUAAGUUGACUGCCGGUGACAAACCGGAGGAAGGUGGGGAUGACGUCAAAUCAUCAUGCCCCUUAUGAUUUGGGCUACACACGUGCUACAAUGGACAAUACAAAGGGCAGCGAAACCGCGAGGUCAAGCAAAUCCCAUAAAGUUGUUCUCAGUUCGGAUUGUAGUCUGCAACUCGACUACAUGAAGCUGGAAUCGCUAGUAAUCGUAGAUCAGCAUGCUACGGUGAAUACGUUCCCGGGUCUUGUACACACCGCCCGUCACACCACGAGAGUUUGUAACACCCGAAGCCGGUGGAGUAACCUUUUAGGAGCUAGCCGUCGAAGGUGGGACAAAUGAUUGGGGUGAAGUCGUAACAAGGUAGCCGUAUCGGAAGGUGCGGCUGGAUCACCU
Molecule: ribosomal RNA, 1540 nt
Filed under: Staphylococcus aureus M0688
Lineage: Bacteria; Bacillati; Bacillota; Bacilli; Caryophanales; Staphylococcaceae
Also listed under: 1 other name
Description: 16S ribosomal RNA
Rfam family: Bacterial small subunit ribosomal RNA
Source: RNAcentral